AGGUUAUAGCUCAGUGGGAGAGCGCGUGCUUGCAUGCGUGAGGUCCUGGGUUCAAUCCCCAGUAUCUCUA
This 70-nucleotide transfer RNA is filed under the name Camelus bactrianus (Bactrian camel). It matches the Rfam family "tRNA". From Rfam's summary of the family: Transfer RNA (tRNA) molecules are approximately 80 nucleotides in length. The record is from Rfam by way of RNAcentral. RNAcentral also lists the same sequence under 1 other name. Lineage: Eukaryota; Metazoa; Chordata; Mammalia; Artiodactyla; Camelidae.